RNAcentral lists this ribosomal RNA (693 nucleotides) under uncultured beta proteobacterium. RNAcentral's name for it is "bacterial SSU rRNA". It matches the Rfam family "Bacterial small subunit ribosomal RNA", at positions 67 to 755 of the family's 1533-position model. The record is from RNAcentral. Lineage: Bacteria; Pseudomonadati; Pseudomonadota; Betaproteobacteria.
CGGCAGCACGGACUUCGGUCUGGUGGCGAGUGGCGAACGGGUGAGUAAUAUAUCGGAACGUGCCCAGUCGUGGGGGAUAACGUAGCGAAAGUUACGCUAAUACCGCAUACGAUCUAAGGAUGAAAGCGGGGGAUCGCAAGACCUCGCGCGAUUGGAGCGGCCGAUAUCAGAUUAGGUAGUUGGUGGGGUAAAGGCUCACCAAGCCAACGAUCUGUUGCUGGUCUGAGAGGACGACCAGCCACACUGGAACUGAGACACGGUCCAGACUCCUACGGGAGGCAGCAGUGGGGAAUUUUGGACAAUGGACGCAAGUCUGAUCCAGCCAUUCCGCGUGCAGGAUGAAGGCCCUCGGGUUGUAAACUGCUUUUGUACGGAACGAAAAGGUCUCUCUUAAUACGAGGGGCUCAUGACGGUACCGUAAGAAUAAGCACCGGCUAACUACGUGCCAGCAGCCGCGGUAAUACGUAGGGUGCAAGCGUUAAUCGGAAUUACUGGGCGUAAAGCGUGCGCAGGCGGUUAUAUAAGACAGAUGUGAAAUCCCCGGGCUCAACCUGGGAGCUGCAUUUGUGACUGUAUAGCUAGAGUACGGUAGAGGGGGAUGGAAUUCCGCGUGUAGCAGUGAAAUGCGUAGAUAUGCGGAGGAACACCGAUGGCGAAGGCAAUCCCCUGGACCUGUACUGACGCUCAUGCACG